Molecule: long non-coding RNA, 829 nt
Filed under: Zonotrichia albicollis (white-throated sparrow)
Lineage: Eukaryota; Metazoa; Chordata; Aves; Passeriformes; Passerellidae
Description: lncRNA (ENSZALG00000007092.1)
Source: RNAcentral
CAGCACCGGCCUUUCCCCGCCGCCGCCCGGCCCGGCUCCGCUCGCCUCAGCACGCGCCGCUCUCCGGCGCCAUGUUCUCCGCCCGCCUCCCCCCGCCGCCCGGCCAAUCCCUCCCGGCGCCCGCGGGGUCCCGUCCGCCCUCCGCGCCCGGGCCUGGCGGGACCCGUACCUGGGGGUGCCGGGAGCUGCCGCCUCUGCCGCCGGGAGGGCCGGGGCUGCGGCUGAGGAGGGGGCCGGGGGCCUCUGGGAGGAGGCGGAGGCGGUGGAGGGGGUGGGUGGCUGGGCGGGGAGCCGGGGCGACACUCGCCGCGGCGGGGGGGCCGCGCCCGGCGGAGGCGGACGGGGUUGCGGCGCGAAGGGCGGCCCCGGGCUGCACCCGCGGAGAGACCGUGUCGCGGCCCGCCCGCUUCCUGGUGGCCGCGCUCCGCGUCCCUGGCGGCCUCUGCCAAACAAAAGUCCCUAGUGCAUGUAAAAGUGAAGACCAAGCUGGACAGAAAGAGGACAGGAUAAAUGGUGAGCUGUUAAAUCUGAAUUCCACCCUGUUGCUGGCAGUGCGUCAGAGAGGCUCAUCCCGUGGUGCCUGACAGAAGGACUGCAGGCUUAUUUAGCGGCUGUUCAAAGUCACUGGUGUGUCCUGCUUUAACCCCAGCCGGCAACGAAGGAUCAGGCAGCCGUUUCCUCCCCCCCACCCGUCCCGGUGUAAUGGGGAGGAGAAUCAAAAGUACAACUUGACUUGAAAUAAGAACAAUUGAGAACUCGACUUGAAAUAAGAACAAUUUAGUAACUGAAACAAAAUAAAUUAUAAAAAUAAUAGUAAAUAACGAUAGUA